Molecule: long non-coding RNA, 899 nt
Organism: Mus caroli (Ryukyu mouse)
Lineage: Eukaryota; Metazoa; Chordata; Mammalia; Rodentia; Muridae
Source: RefSeq, a predicted model, not a curated record
AUCUCUUCUUUUCUUAUGAAAGAAGCAGAGAGAGCUUGGAGUCUGUCCUCAGGGCCCCCACCACUCAGGGAAAUUUUAGUUCUGAUGACCCAGCAUCUUCCUGGAAAGCCACUAGGGCUGUGGGAUGGCCUCUGAGGAGGUAGCAGUCACAAGUCCCCGCUGUGACCUUCUCAAGGUCACGUCCCUGUGGUGACCUCUAUGUGGCCCUUGGCUUAUGGGAUCGGAAUUGUACAGCAGCCCUGGGAAUUGAUACCACCUACACAAUCAACACAGACUAGACCACAGCUGACCCCAGGCUACUCAUCAUCCUCAGAUUGGAUAAUUUCUAUCGAUCCAUCCUCAAGUUCCACUUCCUCUUCUGUCGGCCCCAAUCUCUGACAAGCUCUUUCAGUGAAUUCAUCAUUUCGACCCUUGUAUCUCUCCUCUGAAGGCACCCUGUGUGUUUAAUGUACUGCCCUUCACAGAGCCAAGAUACAGAAUCUCCGGAGAUGGAUGAAUGGAGGAAGUAAAUGUGUACUGGACGCACAAUGGAAUAUUACCCAGUCACGGAAAAGAGCAAAAUCCCAUUUGCUGUAGCGAAGUGGAUGGGCCUGAAGGACACUGUGUGAGUGAAGUGGAAGCUAAAGACUUGCUUCGCUUCAUAGACGGGGAGAGAGAGGGGAAGAAGAAGUGUGUAAGGGAUGUAGCAGAAAGUAGACAAUGUGUACCCGGAUGUGGAUGGACGAGACGGAAUCCGGAUGUGGAUAGAUGCUACAGAACCGGGAUGUGGAUGGAUGAGACGGAACCCAGAUGUUGAUGGACAGGACUGAAGAGCUCUAGCUGGGAAGUAGUUAACGGUAAACCUACCAAAAACCUCAAAAUAGGUAGAAGAGAGGACAUUGGGUGAGCCCCCAAAUAAA